CUAAUUUGGCAAAAUUUAUAUUUGUGUCCCCUAGUCCUACUAUUUUCACAGUUAAGUAUGAAAAACAUGAUGCAUAAACACUAUUAAUUCCUUUUAUACCCUUAAACACCUCAAUC
Long non-coding RNA from Limulus polyphemus (Atlantic horseshoe crab), 116 nucleotides. RefSeq lists it as uncharacterized. The record is from RefSeq and is a predicted model, not a curated record. Lineage: Eukaryota; Metazoa; Arthropoda; Merostomata; Xiphosura; Limulidae. The transcript has 3 exons.